GUAGAAGAAAGCUAAGGGUUAGGCAAUAGGAAUUAAUUGACUUGCCCAGUGUUAUACAGCUGAGAAAUGUCUGAUGCCAGAUUUGUAACCAGGAUUUCCUGUCUCUAGACCUGGCUUUCAAUCCACUGACCUACCUAGCUGCCCCCCCCCCCAAGAUACAUUAAUUCUAGAAGAAGCUAUCCCAUAGUUUAUAUUCCCUUCAUAAAGUAACUGAGCUUUUGCUUUUGCUGGUUGAGCAAUGCCUUCAUAUUAUGAUGAAUCCAUUUCUCAGAGUCCUAAACACUCUUCCCUCACCCUCACUCAUAGAUGUAUGUCAGUCUUGUAUUUCAGCAUGAAAAUGCAUUGGAUAUGUUAGAGACACAAUCUGAUUAUCAUCAAGACUAUGGAAUUAAUAACUCACUCUAAUUUGGGGGAUUGUGUGGUGUGAAUUUUAAAACUAUUCCACCCUAAUCAGACCAUACUUUAGAAGAUCUGAUUUAGCUAUUUCCUAAUCAAUAACAAUAGAGAUACUUGGACUAACAGAAUCAGGUCUUGGGAAUCCUGCAUUUCUCCACCCUCCUUAGUUAUCAAGAUUGGGAAGGUUUGCACCAAACUCAAGAUUUAAUUAUCUGAGGAAAUGGCCUUCAACAGACAUGUGCAGAAAAAGCAGACAGACCCCUGGGCUGUCCUAAGUCAAGCUUAGCUAUCAUUGGUACAGAUGAGGCACAGGAAAGUGGCAUAAAACUGUCUAUAUAAGGUAUGUCACUUCCUCUCUCUUCCUCUUUCCCUGGAGAGGUGACUCUGGCUGGAAGCGUGUUAGGUGUUCCGACAUCUUGGAGUGGUGGCAGUUAUUUGUCUGGGUUUGGCAAAGUGAUGUGUCUUUUUUGCAACAUGACAAACAUGGAAACAUAUAUUGUAUAGUAACUCACAUAAAACCUGUAUCAUGUUACCUGCUAUUUUGAGGAUGGGAGAGGAAGAAGAAAAGGGUAGAAAAUGAAGAACAAAAUGUCAGAAAAUGAUUAUUUUAUAAAUUGUAUCCACAUGUAAUUUGGAAAAAGUAAAAUAAAAAAUUUAAGCAAAC
Molecule: long non-coding RNA, 1060 nt
Filed under: Monodelphis domestica (gray short-tailed opossum)
Lineage: Eukaryota; Metazoa; Chordata; Mammalia; Didelphimorphia; Didelphidae
Description: lncRNA (ENSMODG00000050711.1)
Source: RNAcentral